AUGACAUGUCUUUUGUCACAACGCCUCUCUCUUAUUUUGUAUGACCUGCUGCAUGUUCAAUGGAGUGUACCAACUACCAAGUGCUACAAGCAUCAUUAUAGAUUAAUUAUGUACCAGAUCACUUUGCUUCAGCCUUUUAGGAGCAUUUUUCUAUAUUACAUACAUGUUCGUACAACACUGCCAAAUACAUAUAGCUGGGAAAUGCAAAUGAACGGGGUUGGGUUUAAUACAAUCAUAAAGAAAGCAAGUGUUCCUCUGUUUUUAAGUCAAUUGCUUUUCACUGGCCAUAAUCAUAUUCAGUUCAAUUACUUGUAG
This 315-nucleotide ribosomal RNA is filed under the name Triticum aestivum (bread wheat). RNAcentral describes it as "partial small subunit ribosomal RNA". The record is from RNAcentral. Lineage: Eukaryota; Viridiplantae; Streptophyta; Magnoliopsida; Poales; Poaceae.